Molecule: long non-coding RNA, 329 nt
Organism: Lingula anatina
Lineage: Eukaryota; Metazoa; Brachiopoda; Lingulata; Lingulida; Lingulidae
Source: RefSeq, a predicted model, not a curated record
AUUCUACUUCGUGCCUGGGUCUUCGUCCUGUCAUGAUCAUUCUACGGGCUGACGUUGAAACUAUACCGUUUAAUCGUAUGAUGGUAUAAACUGUGUGCCACGUGUUUCACUUAAUGACGCCGUUCCUGGACGCGAAGUCAACGUCGACCAUUUUGAUCUUGACACUCCAAGCUGAAAGACGCGCGUGGACAGAAGAGGCCAGCCGUUCGGAGUGGCAGAAUGCAACUCCUACAGGAGUCGUAUUUUCUUUGUACUUAGACUUUGUUUCAUAGCAGAUUACCGAAUUAAAGUUACAGAUACAAUAUUAAAGCUCAGCGCAAACGCAGCAG